UUUUUUUUUUUUUUUUGCCAGACUUUCAGUGUCUGCCUCUGUGACUUGGAGCUGGUCGUCAUUAAGAGAGGAAGAGAGUUAUCAGUGAGAGGUGUUCAUUCUAUUCUUUGCAUCCACUCCAGAGCAGCACCAUGUGAUAAGCCAGAUGGGGACUAUGUGCAUGUGCCCACAAUAAUGGAUUGACAUUUGAAAGCCACUGCUCAGAAUGAAGUAAUCUCCGAUGUCUUAGAUAGAGGAAGGAAGGCCUGUGGAUGCAGCCUAGGUGACUGAGUCCAGUUACCCAGGAUCCGUUCAUCAGAAAGCCUCUAAACUGCUCCAGAGAGGCUGCAACAACCUAACUCAUGCUAGAUGAUGAAAAUGCACUUCGAGAUUACUAAACAAACCAACAAACAAACAGCCAUGCCCUUGGAGAAACGAAACAAUCUCUCAAACAUAGACAUACCUCAGGCCAGGGGUCAACUUGUACAUUAAAGUGUUUGAUACUUUUUAUGAGCAAAGAUGUUUAGUGGAUGUUGCUCCCAAGAAAGUUUUCAAGAAGACCCUAAAGAUUAUCUAAGUGGGCAGAAAUUAUAGGUGACACCUGUUUUUUUCUUGACAAAGCAAUAGAGUAAAGUAGGAAAGAACUGGUGGUUCUUUUCUACAGAGAGAUUAAAGUUAAAGCACAGAGGUUAAAGUUAAAGCAAUUUGGCACCCACAGGAAGACACUUACAGACAAGAUGUUCUCUGGCACAGACUUCAUUGUUGGUGAAAUUAUAAGAUUACACAAAGAGCAAUACUAUUCUUUCCUAUAGUGGUUGCUUCUUAUUAAUAUAUAUGUAUAUAACACAUAGUACCUGAAGUUUUGUGAUGACUGGUUAGUAAGUUUUCAAAAUUCAGAUUAAUCUAUUCUUAACAAUAUGGACACUGAUAGCCUAUUAGCAAGCCAUUUAUUUGGAAUUUAUAAUCAUGGAAUUUUCGUACUACAUUAAGAAUCUCCAUGGGUGAUAAUAGAGCACUAAAAUAGCUAGCAUUGCACUGAUGUUUCUCACUCUCUACAUUUGUUUAAUUCCUCUGCCAGAGACACUUACUUAACUUGUCUUGGUGGAUUUUUGUAAUGUGUCUUUCAAAUGGAAAAACCGUAUUCAAGCAUUCCAGUUUUAUCAAGUAGCAAAAACACCCAGGCUGUUGGCCAGAAUUUGCAUGUUUGUUACUGCAGUACAUACCCAGAUAUCUCAGGCAGAGGAAUAAUAACAAUUUUCCACAAUGUCAUUGGAUCCAUAAUUCUGGCAGUAGGUUAAUUCACUUAGCCACUUCCAUUAAAGCAAUAAUUAUUGGCAUAUAAUCUUAGAAAUCACCAUGCAUUGCGGUGUUCAAUUCCAGUUGAAAUAGAAUUUUUAGUUCAAUAAAUGUUUGCUAAGUACCUAC
Molecule: long non-coding RNA, 1404 nt
Organism: Homo sapiens (human)
Lineage: Eukaryota; Metazoa; Chordata; Mammalia; Primates; Hominidae
Exons: 2
Source: RefSeq, a predicted model, not a curated record